RNAcentral lists this ribosomal RNA (482 nucleotides) under uncultured bacterium. Its description in RNAcentral is "partial 16S ribosomal RNA". It matches the Rfam family "Bacterial small subunit ribosomal RNA", at positions 28 to 523 of the family's 1533-position model. The record is from RNAcentral.
AGUGAACGUUGGCGGCGUGGAUUAGGCAUGCAAGUCGAGCGAGAACCGUAGCAAUACGGGGACAGCGGCGAAAGGGACAGUAAUGUGUAGGUACCUACCCCCGGGUUCGGGAUAGCUGCGGGAAACUGCAGGUAAUACCGAAUAAUGUCUCCGGACCAAAGGUGUGAUUCCACCUGGGGAGUGGCCUGCAUCCUAUUAGCUUGUUGGUGGGGUAACGGCCUACCAAGGCGACGAUGGGUAGCGGGUGUGAGAGCAUGACCCGCGUCAUUGGGACUGAGACACUGCCCAGACACCUGCGGGUGACUGCAGUCGAGAAUCUUCGGCAAUGGGCGCAAGCCUGACCGGGCGACGCCGCGUGCGGGAUGAAGGCCUUCGGGUUGUAAACCGCUGUCGUAGAGGAGGAAAUGCAGGGGGGUUCUCCCCUUUGCUUGACCUAUUCUAGGAGGAAGUACGGGCUAAGUUCGUGCCAGCCGCCGCGGUAA